Molecule: long non-coding RNA, 156 nt
Filed under: Microcebus murinus (gray mouse lemur)
Lineage: Eukaryota; Metazoa; Chordata; Mammalia; Primates; Cheirogaleidae
Description: TTC28 antisense RNA 1 conserved region 2 (ENSMICG00000032806.2)
Rfam family: TTC28 antisense RNA 1 conserved region 2
Source: RNAcentral
AAAAUGGCAGAACGAAAGACUUAUGAGCAGGACUGGAAAGUAGAAGAGAUGUCAACCAACACUCAAAACUAGAAAGAAGAAUGUAUAAAGAAAAAGACUAAUGCUCCUGAGAAAAUAGACUCACAGACUGACAUCUCCGCGGUGUGGCAUUUUCUU